This 840-nucleotide long non-coding RNA is filed under the name Ananas comosus (pineapple). RNAcentral's name for it is "long non-coding RNA (ACOM_LNC026598)". The record is from RNAcentral. Lineage: Eukaryota; Viridiplantae; Streptophyta; Magnoliopsida; Poales; Bromeliaceae.
AUUCUCUCUCUCUCUCUCUCUCUCUCUCUCUCUCUCUCUCUCUCUCUCUCUAUAUAUAUAUAUAUAUAUGGCUAAAUUACAGAAAACCUUCCUGUCAAAAUCUGAUUUUUCACUUUCCCCCCCGUCAUUUAAAAACCUACACUUUCCCCCCUGUCCAAACCCGAUGUUUCUAGCCCUUGGAUCUACUCGAUUACUAAUAGCCCUUGGAUCAAACACUAUUCCACCCACCAUCACCUAUCACCACCUACCACCAUCAUCCCAACUACACAUUUCUCCAUCCAAGGGUUAAAAACUCAAAAGCACCGUUCUCUUGGUGUUUUUGAAAGUAUUCUAGCUCAACUCAUAUAUAAUUUAGCUAGAAUACUUUUAGAAGUAUUACUCCCUUGGUGCUUCUAGGUUUCUAGCCCUUGGAUCUACUCCUUAAUUACUAAUAGCCCUUGGAUCAAACACUAUUCCACCUAUCACCACCUACCACAACCUCCCACCGUUAUCCCAACCUUACAUUUCCAUCCAAGGGUUAAAAACUCAAAAGCACCAAGAGAUUGGUGCUUUUGAAAGUAUUCUAGCUUAAUUCAUAUAUAAUUUAGCUAGAAUACUUUUAGAAGUAUUACCCCCUUGGUGCUUCUAGGUUUCUAACCCUUGGAUCUACUCCUUGACUACUAAUAGCCCUUAGAUCAAACACUAUUCCACCUACCACCGCCUACCACCAUCAUCCUAACCUUAUAUUUCUCCAUCCAAGGGUUAAAAACUCAAAAGCACCAUUCUCUUGGUGCUUUUGAAAGUAUUCUAGCUCAACUCUAUAUAUAUAUAUAGACGAUUUACACUUUUUUUGGAAUGAAC